RNAcentral lists this ribosomal RNA (368 nucleotides) under uncultured organism. Its description in RNAcentral is "partial 16S ribosomal RNA". It matches the Rfam family "Bacterial small subunit ribosomal RNA", at positions 526 to 896 of the family's 1533-position model. The record is from RNAcentral.
GUAGGGGUGCAAGCGUUACCCGGAUUUACUGGGCGUAAAGGGUUGCGUAGGCGGUAUAUCAAGUCAAAAUUCAAAUGCUCACGCUCAACGUGAGAAGGGGUUUUGAUACUGAUAUGCUUUGAGGAUCAGAGGGGUAGUUGGAACUUGUAGUGGAGCGGUGAAAUGCGUUGAGAUUACAAGGAACACCGAUGGCGUAGGCAAACUACUGGCUGAUAUCUGACGCUGAUGCACGAAAGCUAGGGGAGCAAAACGGGUUAGAGACCCGUGUAGUCCUAGCCGUAAACGAUGGACACUAGAUGCUCGGUUUUUCUGAGUGUCGUAAGCUAACGCGUUAAGUGUCCCGCCUGGGGAGUACGGUCGCAAGAUUA